UUAUACCCUUAAGUACAACAGGGAGUGUAGGCUUGUAUUGCACCUGAAGGUUUUCAAGUUCAAUUGUUCCUUUGGUUGGCCAGUCAGGCUUCGGUCUACAAUCCUCGAUCACCGAGGGAGCUUCACUAGGUAUGUUUGAGAAUUGAAGAACUCUCUCAACUGAUAUCAUUUUGUUUUCAACGUUGCAUAAGUUCCAUAUUACCCAUGCUUGCAGUACAUUUAAGUUCAAGCCAUAUGUGGCUGCCAAUCCUGCCAAGCCUGAUACGACAUCGACAUGCUAGUCAGUUACAAACUCGACAUUAUAGAUAUUGAACUGCAUAAACUUGGGAAAGAUAAACUAUCGAGAUGAUAAAAAAGAGAAGAGGUGGGAGGAAGAGGG
Molecule: long non-coding RNA, 379 nt
Filed under: Gossypium raimondii (Peruvian cotton)
Lineage: Eukaryota; Viridiplantae; Streptophyta; Magnoliopsida; Malvales; Malvaceae
Description: long non-coding RNA (GRAI_LNC004045)
Source: RNAcentral